Molecule: transfer RNA, 63 nt
Filed under: Isorropodon fossajaponicum
Lineage: Eukaryota; Metazoa; Mollusca; Bivalvia; Venerida; Vesicomyidae
Description: tRNA-Asp
Source: RNAcentral
GUAAAAGUAGUUUAAAUGAGAAUGAAAAUUUGUCAUGUUUUUGGUGCUAUCGGGUCUUUUAUU